AGAGUUUGAUCCUGGCUCAGAGNNNNCGCUGGCGGCAGGCUUAACACAUGCAAGUCGAGCGCCCCGCAAGGGGAGCGGCAGACGGGAGAGUAACACGUGGGAACAUACCCUUCAGUUCGGAACAACCCAGGGAAACUUGGGCUAAUACCGAAUACGUCCGUAAGGAGAAAGAUUUAUCGCUGAAGGAUUGGCCCGCGUCUGAUUAGCUAGUUGGUGGGGUAAUGGCCCACCAAGGCGACGAUCAGUAGCUGGUCUGAGAGGAUGAUCAGCCUCACUGGGACUGAGACACGGCCCAGACUCCUACGGGAGGCAGCAGUGGGGAAUAUUGGACAAUGGGCGCAAGCCUGAUCCAGCCAUGCCGCGUGGGUGAUGAAGGCCUUAGGGCUGUAAAGCCCUUUCGGCGGGGAAGAUAAUGACGGUACCCGCAGAAGAAGCCCCGGCUAACUUCGUGCCAGCAGCCGCGGUAAUACGAAGGGGGCUAGCGUUGCUCGGAAUCACUGGGCGUAAAGCGCACGUAGGCGGCUUCUUAAGUCAGGGGUGAAAUCCUGGAGCUCAACUCCAGAACUGCCCUUGAUACUGAGGAGCUUGAGUCCGGGAGAGGUGAGUGGAACUGCGAGUGUAGAGGUGAAAUUCGUAGAUAUUCGCAAGAACACCAGUGGCGAAGGCGGCUCACUGGCCCGGUACUGACGCUGAGGUGCGAAAGCGUGGGGAGUAAACAGGAUUAGAUACCCUGGUAGUCCACGCCGUAAACGAUGGAUGCUAGCCGUUGGCGGGUUCACCCGUCAG
Molecule: ribosomal RNA, 786 nt
Filed under: uncultured bacterium
Lineage: Bacteria
Description: bacterial SSU rRNA
Rfam family: Bacterial small subunit ribosomal RNA
Source: RNAcentral